Molecule: ribosomal RNA, 549 nt
Filed under: uncultured bacterium
Lineage: Bacteria
Description: partial 16S ribosomal RNA
Rfam family: Bacterial small subunit ribosomal RNA
Source: RNAcentral
UGGGGAAUAUUGCACAAUGGGCGCAAGCCUGGUGCAGCGACGCCGCGUGAGGGAUGACGGCCUUCGGGUUGUAAACCUCUUUCAAUAGGGACGAAGCGCAAGUGACGGUACCUAUAGAAGAAGGACCGGCCAACUACGUGCCAGCAGCCGCGGUAAUACGUAGGGUCCGAGCGUUGUCCGGAAUUACUGGGCGUAAAGAGCUCGUAGGUGGUUUGUCGCGUUGUUCGUGAAAACUCACAGCUUAACUGUGGGCGUGCGGGCGAUACGGGCAGACUAGAGUACUGCAGGGGAGACUGGAAUUCCUGGUGUAGCGGUGGAAUGCGCAGAUAUCAGGAGGAACACCGGUGGCGAAGGCGGGUCUCUGGGCAGUAACUGACGCUGAGGAGCGAAAGCGUGGGGAGCGAACAGGAUUAGAUACCCUGGUAGUCCACGCCGUAAACGGUGGGUACUAGGUGUGGGUUUCCUUCCUUGGGAUCCGUGCCGUAGCUAACGCAUUAAGUACCCCGCCUGGGGAGUACGGCCGCAAGGCUAAAACUCAAAUGAAUUGAC